Molecule: ribosomal RNA, 429 nt
Filed under: Acidobacteriota bacterium
Lineage: Bacteria; Pseudomonadati; Acidobacteriota
Description: Acidobacteria bacterium partial 16S ribosomal RNA
Rfam family: Bacterial small subunit ribosomal RNA
Source: RNAcentral
UGGGGGAUUUUGGACAAUGGGGGAAACCCUGAUCCAGCCAUCCCGCGUGUGCGAUGAAGGCCUUCGGGUUGUAAAGCACUUUUGGCAGGAAAGAAACGUCAUGGGUUAAUACCCCGUGAAACUGACGGUACCUGCAGAAUAAGCACCGGCUAACUACGUGCCAGCAGCCGCGGUAAUACGUAGGGUGCAAGCGUUAAUCGGAAUUACUGGGCGUAAAGCGUGCGCAGGCGGUUCGGAAAGAAAGGUGUGAAAUCCCAGAGCUCAACUUUGGAACUGCAUUUUUAACUACCGGGCUAGAGUGUGUCAGAGGGAGGUGGAAUUCCGCGUGUAGCAGUGAAAUGCGUAGAUAUGCGGAGGAACACCGAUGGCGAAGGCAGCCUCCUGGGAUAACACUGACGCUCAUGCACGAAAGCGUGGGGAGCAAACAGG